This 318-nucleotide ribosomal RNA is filed under the name Talaromyces sp. RNAcentral's name for it is "partial large subunit ribosomal RNA". It matches the Rfam family "Eukaryotic large subunit ribosomal RNA", at positions 1097 to 1412 of the family's 3401-position model. Lineage: Eukaryota; Fungi; Ascomycota; Eurotiomycetes; Eurotiales; Trichocomaceae. The record is from RNAcentral.
GAACGUGGGCGCCAUAAUGAGGAGUUACUUUUGGGCCGUUUCUCGUUAGCCGAGUUGGCGAUGCGGGAGGAGCCGACCACGAAGUUAAGGUUCCGGGAUGCGCGCUCAUCAGACCCCACAUAAGUUUUUUGUUCAUCUAGACAGCCCGACGGUGGCCAUGGAAGUCGGAAUCCCCUAAGGGAAAACUAAGAAAUCACGGGCCGAAAAACUAUCCUAGGGAAUGGAUGGCGCUCAAGGGUAAUGGCCAUCCUUAUCUAUCAGGGUUGAUACGAUGCCCCGGUGAGUAGGCAGUCAUGGGGGACCGUGACUUAAAGCCUU